CUGGAAUCUUGAGCUGCAUACAUAAAUUUGAAGUGGUCCGCUGAAGCUUGUUAUCAACAAAAAGUAAUUAGAAAUGGCAUUUUGCCUUCCUAUUUGAAUGAGAAUGGUCUUCAAACGUCGACCUAUGGCCCUGUAACACUAUAUUGCUCUACUCUGAAGGGUAUAAACUUACAAAGUCAAUGUUGGUAAGCUAGACUAACCAAAUGUACACAUAUUUUGUCCUGGCAUUGCCAUCUAGUUGUAAAGUCACCUUGAGGUCGUUUGGAAUAAUGGUAACCAACUAAAUGAAUCCGGUGCCUCUUCUGUGAUGUGUACAUCAUAUAAGUCAUGCAAUAUAACUGUAGCAUUUGCUCCAUUCCGAUCAACUGUUGUUCUUGGGUCUCUUGGCAGAAACCAGGUACGCACGAUUUACUUUGGUUGAUUACGAGUUAACAAGAGUAAUUGUCCUCAUGAGUCAUUGCAGUUAAGAGGUACCCACUUAUAAUUUAGGGCCAUUGAAUUAUUUCUAGGGUAAGGACCAGUAAUUAUCUGAUGCAAAUUGUAACAAUGCCUUUGUAUGCUGUUUUUGUUGUAGUAUAAAUUUAUGCAAUAAAAAAUGCUGGUAAGACUUGCAAAACAGAAGAUUAAUUGCUUAUAUAGAAUAUAUCCAGCAAAUAAGGUGUAAUAUUUGAAUAGCAAGUUCAAGAUAUGAAGUGGCAAAUCCACAACCAUAAAUUUACAACCCCCAUGUCCACAUCAGUAGAAGCAGAACAGACAAAAACCAUCAAAAUUCUGAAGGAAUAGAAACGUCAAAGCCUUUUGCUGCAGCACACAAGUUCUCACACACAACACACACAAAUCUUGCACACAUGUCUGCUGGUAGUUCUCAUGUUUCUAUGGCCUGAAGUUAUCCCGGACUUAGAAAUGAGUUGACAAAGGCCAAGAACUUGUCUCCAUGGCCACCUCACAACUCACAGGAGCACUGGUACUUGACCUCUAUUUAUUUUCCUUACAAGUAUAUGGAAGAACUCGCAAAGAUUUGUGUAGGAGUUACAUAGUUAUUUCCCCUUUUGCUGGGUUUUUGUUUAUUAUAUCCACAGCAUUUUCUUGCCCCUAGGAACUAACCCGUUCACAAUUUGAUCUAACAUUGCAUACAGAGAUCAAGAAAUGGCUUGUUCAUCCACAUAUAGAGUUCCCAGUGGGUUAGGAUUCUUGGGGCCUUCCAAGAUUGGUCGGAAUCCUUUGAAAAACAAAGGUGGUGUCCGGUCAGGAGCAAAGUAUGUGGUACCAACGUGUGCAGUCUCCUCUGCUAGGCCAGCGUCACAGCCUAGGUUCAUACAGCACAAGAAGGAGGCCUUCUGGUUCUACAGGUUUCUUUCCGUAGUAUAUGAUCAUGUUAUAAACCCAGGGCAUUGGACUGAGGACAUGAGGGAUGAUGCAUUGGAACCUGCUGAACUAUACGACAAUGAGUUUAAGGUUGUUGAUGUUGGCGGUGGAACUGGGUUCACUACAUUGGGGAUUGUCAAGCAUGUGGACAACGACAAUGUGACUCUGCUGGACCAGUCACCACACCAGAUUGAGAAAGCUCGGCAGAAGGAGGCACUGAAGGGGGUGACCAUCAUGGAGGGUGAUGCUGAGGACCUCCCCUUUCCGACUGACACAUUUGACCGCUAUGUCUCUGCUGGAAGGUGAUGCUCUUAUCAAUUGUAUGGAUAUCUUAUCUUAUAGUACCUCUUUGUAUAUACUGAUCUUAUGCCAGCUUGAGUAGGCUAGUAUUUUCUUGACCUUCAUCCUUUCCUGCUGCUACUUACUACUAUUAAUGUCAAUACCUUGUUAUUUCCUGUCUUAAUAUAUCUAGAUUUGUAGCCAAUCCAGUUUUAGUUGACAAAAUCCAUCUGACCGCAGUAUAAACAUUAUAAACACAAUGGUUCAGUUGCCUGCCAGGAUAUAUUGGUACUGGUGCAAUUUGAAGCAAAUGAUAAUGCUCUUGUUUCCAGCUGUCCAUGAUUCGAGAAUUGUUAUUGAAGUCCUGAUACUCUGCUGGAAGAAAUGAUCUAACUAUCUUCAGAUCUGUAGACAUGUACAGAUACCUUUGGUUAAUCCUUUCCUAUAUGUUAAGCUGCUGCUUGAACAUUGAAAGGAGUGUAUAUUUGCGACCUGGCUUAGAUUUUAUUAUUGUGAGUCGAAUGCCAUAUCUCUUAUGCCUCCGUUUCAUCAGCCAUGCUUAUAGAUGGUGUUAUUCUCCAGCAUUGAGUAUUGGCCUGACCCGCAGCGAGGAAUCAAGGAAGCUUACAGGGUCGUGAAGCCUGGCGGGCUUGCCUGUUUGAUUGGUCCAGUUCACCCAACAUUCUGGCUAUCUCGCUUCUUCGCCGACAUGUGGAUGCUCUUCCCCACAGAAGAAGAGUACAUAGAGUGGUUCACCAAGGCAGGGUUCGAGGAUGUCAAGCUCAAAAGGAUCGGGCCUAAGUGGUACCGUGGUGUUCGUCGGCAUGGCUUGAUCAUGGGAUGCUCCGUGACAGGCGUGAAGAGAGCUUCUGGCGACUCCCCUUUGCAGGUACAUUCCAUGCAUCCGUAGCUGCCAGACUUUGUUUUCUCCAUCUCAAUGUUCCAAGUGUGUUGAUAUCACUUAUCAUUGGUAUGUUGUUGCUGCAGCUUGGUCCCAAGGCUGAGGAUGUUGAGGAACAGGUGAAUCUUCUCGCCUUCCUCUUCCGCUUCGCCAUCGGGACGAUAUGCGCGUCGUACUACGUGCUAGUGCCUAUCUACAUGUGGAUCAAGGAUCAGGUUGUUCCCAAAGGCCAGCCGAUUUAAGCAAUGGUAGUGAAGAUCCAAUUUUGGCUUCUGUAUGUUAGCGACCUGUAGUGCUUGCAGUUCCCUACUCAUGUAUGUUUGUGCUUUUCUUUCCGUCAAAAUCUUGUUUAUGCAAAGGGACUUUGUUCACUAGCAGAAUUGUAGAGGCUAGGGAUGUAAUAUUCCCAUUUAUCGGAUGAAAUGCAAAGGAGCUUGAUGAAGCGUCAAAAUGCAUCCUCUAACAUGGUGAAAAUUGCCAUCGAAAUAAAUAAGAGCUCUGAGACCAAAUUUUGAACUGAAAAUUCGGUGGCGAACUUGUUAGGUUCAAAUUCGGUAAGUCUCCUUGUUGUCUUUCAUAUAUCCUGUAUUCCUGUAUUCCAUACCUACAUAUGCCCACAUUACCAAGACCACACACUGGAAGAGGAAACAGGCAUGAAGUCGCUACAUCAGACCAUGAGUCAAGAAGAGAUCAUAUGCUCUGAACAUGUCAUGCAGAAAGCCAUGAAGUCGCUACAUCAGACCCAACAGACAUUACAAAAGAAAAGUAGAGCAGCUAUAUGAUUCAACAUGUAUGAUAUCAUGGAGAGAAUAUUACUGCAAGUAAUUGUUUGAUAUCAGACAACGCGAACAAUGCAUGCUAUAUAUGUACCACCAAAAAUCUGUCUUUGCAGUUACAUGUAUGCAACAUGAAGAGUAGCUCCCAGCAAAAAAAAGAUAACAUGAAGAGUCGCAAACUUAACUCACAGAAAACAGGACACAUUUUCAGAACAUAAUGAAAAAAACAACUACACAGAACAGAUCACCUCCAACGCCAUAAGAUUGAGGUGCUUCUUAUGCCCCGAAACAUCCGAGAAGUUUCUUGGGAGCCAGCCCGGUUGCACGGUACUUUGCUGCCAUCUCCUCGGCCUUGAGAACUUCUUCACCACGCCGGGCCACUACCAUUGCUCUCUUCUCUUCAGCUUCCCUGUGGGCGAUUGCCUUUCUGUUCUUCAUCUUCUCAGCGUAUUUGGCCUUCUUCUUUUCCAACUCUUCCUGAACGCUCGUAAAAUUCCAGAACAUUAGCCGAUCAGUGGACGCACAUAAAAUUCCUCUAGGAGAAGUGGCUACAUAGCAUAUUGAAUAGAUAGACAAUAACUUCUCAGCUAGUCAAGGUCACCAGAAGACAUAAACGAGUUCUCUCUUUUUUUUCUAGAGAAAGAAAUAGUGAAUUUUUAUAUAUGCACUGUUCAUAUUAUGUGCCAAGGUGGAGCAGGUGGCCAAGGAGAUGUUUACCCAGCAUGGACAACGUUUUAGUCUUUCGGAUCGGUCUUCCAAGACCUUAAGCUGUUUCCUUUUGUGUUUAAACUAUGUCGUUACAUGUUAUGGCUGAACUUUAUUGUUGGCCUGUAAUGUUGUGUCUGUGGGAUUCUACUUAUGCAUAGGCUGGGAGUAAACUCUUAUGGUUGUAUUGCCUUGAUGUGGCAAGAGUCGAUAGAUUCUUUUUCUCGAAGGAAAGAAGAACUUCCUUGUUUGCAUCCUACUCGAACAUAUCACUAAAGUGUGAAAAUAUGAAGUUCAAUGGAAGUAUUGUAAAUGUACCGGUAAAUAUGCAGACCACUCAUGGUUUGAAAAAAAAGGCAGGUCAUUCAAAAUCCCCAGCAAUAAAGAAAGGGAAUAACGAACUUGGUAAGAAUAAAAUAUACCAGAAUCAUAACUUGAGAAACAUGAAAUUGGAAUGGAGGACUUACUUCCUUCCUUUUGAGUUGAGCAUCUAUGGCUGCCUUCUUUGUGUUCUCCCAUGAAAGAAUGGACGAUAGCUUCUUAGCAGCCCUGUUGUGACAUAGACAGCAAGGGAUUAAAUUUAUUGUUUUCAAUUUAUUUGGAGUUAUGAUUUGCAACUUAUUUCCUCGAUAUAUAUAGGAUGUUGUGACGCAAUGGGGGCAGUGAAUAGCAAAGCUUCCAGUGACAACUUUCCGGUUUUAAGUCUGUGACAGAGUUUUCCAGGGCUGGCCAGUGAAACAUUCAGAUUACUGAACAGGGAGGGGUGCUAAAAAAGGAUGGAUGCUUGAUCCAGCUAACUGACAGUCCCAGUGCAGAAUGAAGGGGUGACAAUGGAUCUAUUGUUCAGAACUUACUUGUUCUCAGCCUUGGCCUUCUCGUUCUCCACCCAUGCUUUGAUCAAAGAGCUCAUCUUCUCCGUCUCCACCUUUGCAAGAGCGACGUCUGAAAGCAGGUUAUAUUAUGUAUGCUGUCAGCUUAGUCGGCUGUAUUCAGCAGAGACGAGAAGAAGGAACGGAGUUGAAUCAUCAUUCAGUCACCUCUUUCAUGUGAGCCCCUGUGGAUGUUCUUCUCAGGGCGAGGUUUUUCGGCAGCUUCUGCACAAGAAACCGGAGCAAAGUGUCAGAAAUCAGGUGCGGUGACUUGACUGACUGAACCUUGUGGAACAGAUAGAAAACAUGGCGAACAGGACAGGCAAUAGUUGAUCCUUCCACAUAUGAACCCUCUUCACAGUUGAGAAUGGUUAGCAUGUCUCGGAAUAGAUCCUUGGACAACAAGUAGGUUAGUAUACUCACUGCUGUCGACGACGACGAGGGCCUUGGAGUCAUCGGCCACGGCCGGUGGCUUGGCCCCCGGGGGAGGCGGGAUGACCACCGGCACGUCCUUCUCUGCGGCCGCCUCCGGCGCCGCAGCAGCCGGCACCGCCUUCUUGGCUUCCUCCCCGGCCAUCACGCACGCACGCGCACAGGUGCUUGUUGCGGCGAGAAACUUCCGCAGCUGCUUCACUGUCUGUCACGCUAGCGAUACUCAACCGCGGCUUGACGCGGAGCAAUAUAUAGAACGGGUUUAAGUGGCUCCGCUGCCGUUAGCCUGGCCUAGAGGAAAAGUUUUUUUUCUAUAUUUUUUUGACAGGGGCCUGGAGGAAAGGUUGGCCAGCGGGGAGGUGGAAGGAGGAGGAAAUAAAUAAUUAGUAGGCUAUAUAUCCGGGAGCUUAUUUAGUGGGGCUGCUUUUAGCAGGUGCGUGCGUGGGCGUGUACGUGUGCGUGGGUGUUGACACACCCACGGGAAAAUUCAAUGAAAUGACGCGCGCCUCGGCCUUGGUCUGCCAACGGAACGGAGGCCGUCCAUCGGUGGUUUUCAUGGCGCACACGCGCGGGCCGUGCCGUCCGGCCUCCGGGCGUCCGCCUCCUCCGACGCAUCGGACAUCGCGCGGCCGUUGUGCCCGAAGGCGGAAGGACCCGGGCGGGCAGGGACAGCCGGACAGGGACAGUGCAGCGUUGAAUUGGCACGUUCGGGGAGUAUAAUUCUCACAGGUCCAAGUAGGUGGGAGCACAGUACGGUACAAACCGGACUAUCGAAUCCUAGGGAUAUAUUCGCCGUCAAGCUGCGGACGCGGCUUAAAAACGAUCGAUCCACAGCUGGAAAACAGCACAAGCAAGGGCUGUUGCCUUUGCCUUGUGUUGGUACAAUACAAUCGACGUCGAUGCUAAUGAUCAUUCCUAAGCCGCCUUCUUUUUCUCAUCCCACUGAUUCGCUCCUGCAUCAUGUCUCCACUUUAAUUAUCUUCGUCCCUACGUAAACAGACGGUUGUAAGCCACACUAAACUGCUACUACAGCGCGAUCCUCCAAUCUCUGGGCUGUAUUUUGCGCAUUAAAGCCCACCACGAGCCCACCUGUUUUCGUGUCUCCGGUCUCACCAGCUCGUCUCUUUCCCGUCCCGCGUCGUGCCGGACCAGCCUGUAUCGACACUUUCAGACUUUCAGUUCAGGCAGCCGCUGGUCUCUUCUUUUUCCAAGAAGAAACCUUUCCAGAACCGUGAUAUUCAGAAUGCAAACGCAAAUACCGUCGCCAUGCAAAAAUACAAGGAAACAAUGGCGCUAGUGGAGUGCGUUUCAAGGCAUUUUGGCGUACCUACUCGAUUACUAUAUCUCAUUUUUUGAUAAAGACGCAGUCUUCACAUCAGUUGUGAUGUGGAAACCAUCUGGCUGCUCGCUCAUGUAGUGACAUGAGCUGUCGCCGGCGCUUUGAUUAUUGCUUCCUGCCUGCUUUCUUGGAUCGCCAGUAGGUCUAUUCGCAAAAAAAAAAAGGAUCGCCAGUAGGUCUGGAAAGCAAGUAAGAUUUGGUGGCCUGCCAACUUGGACGAACCCCGCUAGACAGAGAGAGAGAGAGAAAAAAAAAGGAUUGUGAUAUUUGGCACACGUGUGCCAUAUAAGCAAAACUGUCACACCUCUACUUUUUUCAUUUUAAAGUACCACACGAUUACUCGUCCUUUGACCUCGCCUCCUCCCAAACGACCCUGUAGGCUCGCCCGAGAAAUCUGCUUCACCCGCACAUCUCGGGCGCCCACCCCUGAGAAAACUGUCACUUCUUCACGUCUACCCCAUCAUUUCUCCUCAGGACAAAGUUACCAUGGUAUUUGUAUGCAAGUUAUCAGGCCUGUGUUGCAUAACUUACCGUGCUAUUUACAUAGAAUGUACCAGGUAUCUAUGCUUCAACAACUACAUCCCUUCAAAGGUACCACUGUGUUUUGUACACAAGUUAUAAGGUCUUUGAUGUGUAAAAUACCGUGCUACUUACACAUAAGUUAUCAGAGUAUAUGUAUAUCAACCUCCCCCCGGUCAAAGUUAUCAUGAGGGAUUGUACAUGAGUUACCGGGUCUACAGUUCGUAUACUAUCAUGGUACUUGCACCUAAAAACCUGGGUGUGUUUCGGUAGCUUUUUCCAUAGGUCAAAAAUUACCAUGAAGUUUUUGCGUAACUUAUCACGCCUAUAGCACGUGUGCCCCUCAUGACACUAAACAUUAUGUGACUUUCUCGUGGCACGCCAUGCGUUCUGUUCAUCCAAGAGGCCCACGCGCGAGGCGAGUGUAUGUUUUUAACAACUUAGUUUCCUUUGAUAAAAAAGUUACCAUCAUGUUUAUAUUGCAAGUUAUCGGUUAUGCGGUGCUUAUAUUAUCAUGUUAUUUACACAAAAAAUAUUGAGGAUGUUUUGAACAACUUUUUCCCCAGACAAAAAGUUAUCAUGGUGAUUCUAGGUAACCUAUCAAGCCUGUAGUGCUUAAAAUAUCAUACUAUUUACACAAAAUUUAUCAGGGGUAUGUUUUAGCAAAUCCCCCUCCCCCCACGGGUCAAAAACUUAUGAUGGUGUUUAGUUAUCGCAGUGCAUAUAUUUUCAUGCUAUUUACACAUAAAAAUGCAGGAGAGGGAGGUAUACUAUCGUGCUAUUUACACAGAAGAUGCCGGAGUAUCUUUUCAAAAAAAAUUCCUACGGUCAAAGUUACCAUGGUAUUUCUACCUCAGUUAUCAGAUGUGCGCUGCGUAUAUUACCAUCUAUUUACACAUAAAUUAUCGGGUAUCUUUUCACAUUUGUCUUCCCCAAUGGUUAAAGUUACCAUGAUGUUUGUAUCUAAAAUAUCAGGUCUAUGGCGUGAAUGUUAUCCUGCUAUUUACAGAAAUUACCGGGGGUCGGGUUCAACAAAUUUAUUCCCAAUGAUCAAAGUUACCACGAACAUGUCAAAAACAGUAUUUCCCUUAGCUUGCUCAAUAACGAGUAUCAUAGGUGAGGUGGUUAGCUCCCUUUGUUGAUAACCUGCAGAACAGAGAUCAAAUCCUAGUCCAAGCAUUAUUUUUGCUGAAAAUCGGGAAGGCGCGUGAGCCAUAAUUGACGAUUACGAAAAUUAGGAAGGCACGAGCAAGUGUGCCCGCUAAAAUCGGGGAGGGCGUGCGGGAAAGGAAAGAAAUCGGGGGAGGUCGUGCAAUCGGGGAGGGCGUGCGGGAAAGGAAAGAAAUCAGGGGAGGUCGUGCGGGAAAGGAAGAAUAUCGGGAGGCGUGCAGGAAAGGAAGGAGAUCGGGAGGCGCGCGGGAAAGGAAAGAAAUCAAGAGGACAUGCGGGGAAGGAAGGAGAUCGGGAGGGAACUGACGGCGCUGGAUGCGUGUGGCAGUUUCGCAAUCUGCCACACGGUUGCCAAAUACAUUUUUUGAAAAAAAAAACUAACACAGGACCAAAAUAUGGCUAGACAAAGAGAAAAAAACCAAAGCGAACAAAACAACUACUGUAACUUUUGCUUUGUGGAAUACUACAACAACAACCAUCAGACACCAAUCAUCUCACUACGACAAAGUUACUCCAAAACCAAGCUAGCUUGUACAUGGGAGAAAGUUCGCAAACAGACCGCUGGAGGCGGGAUGCGAAGGGAGUCACAAAGAAGAACAAGGGACCAUGAAUAGAAGCCGAAAAGACUGCAGGUUUCAUUGUUGCUUGAAAACUUUGAAACAUUUUCUACAUUUUCUAGUUCCGAGUCAACUGAGAAAUAGUUUAGUUAACCUUAGUCGACUGAGAAGUAGUUAAAUCUCAGCCAGGGAGUUAAGCGUUGUUUUUUCUGCUAAUAUUAGCUCCGGCUGCAUCAUUUGUGGAUGUUUUUUUCCUGAGAAAUAUUCGUUGUUCGUUUGAGUGGCCAGAUUGUUCGUGUCUUCGUGGGUUGUUGUUUUAUUUGUCUUGUUGGGCUUUUCUUGCGAUUCUUUUGGCCCAUAGGUUGUGUUGUUUUAUUUGUCUUGUUGGCUUUUCUUGCGAUUCUUUUGGCCCAUAGGUUGUUGCAGAAGUUCAAAAUAGUAAUAUUUGUUGCAGUUUUUUGUGUUCAAUUGAUUGGGUGAGACUGAAGCACUAGAAAAAGUGGUGAUCUGCAAUGGGCUCGGUGGGUUCAACAGUGACCAUCGACUAAGGGCCGUCAAUUGGUGCUUGCGGCGACUUGUGGUUUGUUUUCACUGUAAAAUGCUGAGAUUUCUGAGAUGUUGUUGAUCCCCUUUGCUGACUUUGCUUUGUGAAAUUUGCCCCGUACCACUCGGUGUAGCUGUUUUCUUGAUUGGACUGUUUCCUAAUCUGUAGCUAUGUGGUGAACAACAUUACCAUUUGUUACAAAAAAACGUGCAUAUCAUAUGGUAAAAUGGGCUAAGGUUUGCCGGUCCAAAAGAAUAGGUGGACUGGGGAUCAAGGACCUCCACAAGCAGAACAUUAGUCUGUUAACUAAAUGGUGGUGGAAGCUUGAAACUAACGAUGGGUUGUGGCAGCAAAUUAUUCGUGCCAGAUAUUUCAAAACAAAACUGUGGCUAAUAUUCGUAGUCGUUUUUCGGAUUCCUCUUGCUGGAAAGCGAUUAUGAAAGUUAAGGAGACUUAUAUGGCAGGAAGGGCUGUCAAGAUUAAUAGUGGUAACUUGGCUAGGGUUUGGCAUGACCCAUGGUUAGAUGUUGCCCCCUUGUGUGAAAAAUUCCCUAUCAUGUUCAGCAUAUGUCAGGAUUAGGAUGGGACCAUUGCUGAUUUUGUGGCAAAAAAUUACAAGAUGGGCUUUAGGCGCAGGCUGUUUGGGGAGGUUAAUGAUCAGUGGGAGUGGGUGGUAUCCGAGGCAAAAAAAUAUGCUUUAAACACUAUCCCUGAUACUGUGUUUUGGAGUCUCAGUAAGAACAAAAGAUUUACCACUAAAUCUGUGUAUGAAUGGUUGGAGAGGGAUUUAGCUGGUCCUAACUACAAGUGGAUCUGGAAAGCUAGUAUCUCAUUGAAAAUCAAAAUAUUUCUGUGGCAGCUAUUUCAAAUGUUGUGCUUACUCGGGAUAAUUUGCGGAAGAGGAAUUGGCCCGGGAAUCCUGUUUGCUCUUUCUGCACUAACAUAGAAACCGCAAACCAUCUAUUCUUUACAUGUUCUGUUGCUCGAAUGGUCUGGGGAACCCCGGGUAUCACGGCUGGAGCAUCCUGUUGCCCACGGUCUCUAUGGCAAAGCUGGGCGUGGUUAUAUAAAUUCUUCCCAGGUGGAAAAAAGUUCUACAUGAUGAUUAUUGUUGCUUUGUGUUGGGGGAUCUGGUGUCUUCGAAAUAAAGUCACUUUCGAUAAAUAUAAUGCUCGUUCUCCAUCGGAGGCUGUUUUCAGUGCAUGCUCUUUUAUGUUGUAUUGGACAGGACUGCUGAAAGAAGAAGAUAGGUCGAAGUUUCAGGCGGGCGUGAAGAGGUUGGUGUAUGCGGCAGCAGCUCUGGCGGACAGGUCUCACUCGCGAGGUGUGAUGCUUUUGAAGGAUGGAGAUGGGAUCCAGAUCGGCUAACCUGCUCGUUUUCCAGUCCACUGGGGUUUGAUGCCCGGCCUGGAGUGAUCUGUGUUUUUGGAGGAUUAUCUCUUUAUGCCCUGAGUAGGCUAUGUAACCUCUCAGGUUUCGCACUAUGUCUUUGUGGUUAGGGUAGUGGCUAGUCAGUGUCGUCAGGUUUUCGUCCCAUGGCGGUUGAUCCGUUUUAGGGUCCUCUUGCGGUGGGUUUCCUGUCGAUGCUCCAGCUCGCUCCUCCCCUUUCAGUCUUAUUUUGGGUUGUUGUCUUGGAAAACUACUGGAACAUUAUAUUUCCGUUGAUUGCAAAAUUAAUGGAAAGGGGUGCAAGCCCGGUUGGAAAAAAACAAGUACUUCAAUCUGUCCAGGAAACUAAGUAGCCCUUUCUGUUCAGCAGUUUAUGUACUUGCUUCUGAAGCACUAAACUCAGCUAUAUUUAUAGAACAGCAGCAACAAACAAAUAAUAGUAGAACACAAUAGAACUCAUCAGAUCAAGACAGAUAUGUAAUUUGUAAAAUAGCUGCUUACAUAGAUGUUUCAAUUAUACAUUGAUACAUGGAAGAACAAUAUGUACUUGUAUGUAUUUACAUAUACACAAGGAGGAUGCACAACAUUUCUUAUCAGAUCAUUCAUUUUUCAAAUCGGAGAGAUACUGGUAUCACAGCACUAUGGUGACAACAAACUUAGUGAAUUUCUGUUUACGUAGUACACUUCACACAUACUGUACUAGUUUUCUGGGAUUGGAGCAUAAUCCUGUGGCUCUUCAAGGCGAGCUGGGGCAACAGCAGCUACAACAACUGAGGCACCAAAUAGCACAACAACCAAUGCCGUGAAGUUCACCAGAAAUGACUCUGGUCCAUAUUUGUCGAUGCCCGAGCUUUGGAGGAAGGUGAGCUUCUCCAGAAACCCAAGUUCUGCCGUUGCCAGGGCUAAAAUGUAAACGAAGAUCCCAAGUAGUACGUGCCAAGGAAGAGCACCCUUCCUCACAUUUGGCGCAGCCUUGGGGAAGAAGAAGGCCAAGAAUCCAAAUAUCCACUGUCACGAACGCAAAUUAAAGAGCACUGGUCAAAACUCAAUUAAAAAAAUCUACAAUUCUUUUGACUUCAACUAUAAUGCAACUUCCUAGUUCAACAAUUGUGGCAUGCAUCAGCUCUAAACCAAUCCAUUUUUCUUUUUAGAGUAAUCCAGUACUCAUACUUUAGUAAAUGCUUUAAAUAUUGUCUGCCUGUUCUACUGUAAGUGAACUGUGUCAGCGGACUCAUAAAAGGUUAAAAAACUACAGUCAUCUACAAAUACGUAAAACCAAUGUGAUCAAAUGAACCAGAUUGAUAAAUGGAACAGAGAAUUGCCACGAUAUCGGAAGUCGAAAAGUCAUACCUGAAUACCAUAUAGAGAAAUUGUUCCUAUUCCAAGCCAAGAAUGCAGACUGUAAAGGUUCGCAAUUCCAGUUUCAUUGUGAUUCUUAAAAGCACAGUAUAUCCCGACCGCACCGAGCACAAGCGCAAUAGCAUGGAGCACUAGAUGGAUCAACUUAGUUGUAUCAUGGUUCACCGUAGGUAGUACCUUGUAUAUCAUUAUAGCUGCCAAAAUGGACAAAGUCUUACAAACAAAAGAAAAAUCACAAGCCAGAAAAGUUGAGGAAUUUUCAGCAUUACCUUCACUGCCAAGAAUAAUAAAGCCAAUCAACAUAAGAACAGGAUGAACCUGUAAUGUUUAACAUUAGUAACAUUCUCGAAAUUGCUAAAUGUAAACAAGUUAUUAUCCUAAAAACUGUUACAAACAGCAGGGAGCACAAGUAAUUCUGAAGCUCCAGCUCUCACCGAGGGAGUCUUUGGAAAUCCAUGUCAGGAAUUGGGGGAAACAAAGGACAACGAUUAUUGGUUUAUUAGACAUCUCCAUCUGCAAUUAACUCAGAGACCUGGAUGUUUUUUAACUGAAACGGACAUAUAGUACGGCAGACACUAACACUUACUAGACAUUUUCAGAUGCGUUAGAGAGCAGUUAGCUAAUGACGCUAACAGAAAUGUGCAGUUGAGAUUUGGAGUACAAUUGAUGUGCAUCAGCACACGGACGCAAUGACGUGUGUAUCCAUUUUGUUCAGAUUGACUUAAAAAAUUGCUCAACUAUCGGUGCAUAUAUAACGCAAACAGAAGUUGUUCUUAUCACAAGUUCAUAUGGCUAGAGCCAAGCAUCAUCUAAUCUAAUCUCCAUGGACCAUGGAGCCAAUAACAGAAAAUCACCAAGCCAACGCUCGCAGCAGAAAUUCAAGCAGACGCUUUUCUAAAUCGCACGGACACGACGGUCAAAUCAAAUCUUGGCGCUCACUUCCUCUUCCACGAUGCUAGCGUACCUACCCAUCCCCCACAGCCCCACUCGAUGCGAUUUCGCCUUUUCUUUUCCUCUAGGGAGCAAAACAAAAAGGCGGAAUCUAAAAUUGUCUGCAGCCAGAGAAGAAGGAACAGGUGGUUCUCACGUUGAAGAUGAGGUUCUUGUUGUCGGCUUCGAAGGCGAGGCCGCCGCGGAAGUGGAUGCACCAGUACAGCACCAUGGCGGCGGCCACCACGGCCAGCGCGUGCGCCACGUACGUGAACGGCGCCGCCCUCACGCCCAGCCCCAUCGCCUCCGGCCCUCUGCCCCUCUCCCCUGCUCCUCUCUCGCCGGCGCUGCUGCUGGUUUCUUUCCCCGGCGGACGGAGCGAGUGGAGACAAUGCGGGAGCGUGGCGUCCCCGCGCCUCUUUAUAAUUUAUAAAUGAUAUUUUUUUCUCGUGUAUUGUCUGUUGAUUUCUCUCCAUAAAAAUCGCGAUAAGGGCGACACGCCUGGUAGUUGUCGAUUGNNNNNNNNNNNNNNNNNNNNNNNNNNNNNNNNNNNNNNNNNNNNNNNNNNNNNNNNNNNNNNNNNNNNNNNNNNNNNNNNNNNNNNNNNNNNNNNNNNNNNNNNNNNNNNNNNNNNNNNNNNNNNNNNNNNNNNNNNNNNNNNNNNNNNNNNNNNNNNNNNNNNNNNNNNNNNNNNNNNNNNNNNNNNNNNNNNNNNNNNNNNNNNNNNNNNNNNNNNNNNNNNNNNNNNNNNNNNNNNNNNNNNNNNNNNNNNNNNNNNNNNNNNNNNNNNNNNNNNNNNNNNNNNNNNNNNNNNNNNNNNNNNNNNNNNNNNNNNNNNNNNNNNNNNNNNNNNNNNNNNNNNNNNNNNNNNNNNNNNNNNNNNNNNNNNNNNNNNNNNNNNNNNNNNNNNNNNNNNNNNNNNNNNNNNNNNNNNNNNNNNNNNNNNNNNNNNNNNNNNNNNNNNNNNNNNNNNNNNNNNNNNNNNNNNNNNNNNNNNNNNNNNNNNNNNNNNNNNNNNNNNNNNNNNNNNNNNNNNNNNNNNNNNNNNNNNNNNNNNNNNNNNNNNNNNNNNNNNNNNNNNNNNNNNNNNNNNNNNNNNNNNNNNNNNNNNNNNNNNNNNNNNNNNNNNNNNNNNNNNNNNNNNNNNNNNNNNNNNNNNNNNNNNNNNNNNNNNNNNNNNNNNNNNNNNNNNNNNNNNNNNNNNNNNNNNNNNNNNNNNNNNNNNNNNNNNNNNNNNNNNNNNNNNNNNNNNNNNNNNNNNNNNNNNNNNNNNNNNNNNNNNNNNNNNNNNNNNNNNNNNNNNNNNNNNNNNNNNNNNNNNNNNNNNNNNNNNNNNNNNNNNNNNNNNNNNNNGGGCAAUCGAGAAAGAGGUGUUUGAUGUUUUCAGAAUGAUCACAGAAGCUACAUCGAGACGGACCUACCCAAUUACGUUUUGCAAGGUUAUCCUUAGUCAGAAUGACUUGUUUAUGCACAAACCACAUAAACACUUUAAUACGUAAGGGUACUUUAACUUGCCAAACAUGUAAGGAGGUAGGGAUGACAGUAGAGUUAAUGACAUCCUGAUACAUUGAUUUGACCGAGAACACACCGUUCUUAGUAAGUUUCCAAUGCAACUGAUCAGGGUUAGAAGACAACCGGACAUCCAUUAAACGACGAACCAGAUGGAGCCAGGCCUCCCAACGAUUUCCAACAAGCGUCCGCCUAAAGUUGAUAUUGAGGGGAACGGAUUGUAAAACAGUAGCAACAUAGGCACCUCUACGUUGGACUAUGUUAUACAAAGAAGGAUAUUGAAGUGCUAGUGGGGUCUCCCCAAGCCACGUAUCCUCCCAAAACCUCGUCGUGGUACCAUUCCCAACAAUAAAUUUAGUCUUGUUAAAAAAGAUUUGUUUAACUCUCAUCAAACCCUUCCAAAAGGGCGAGUCGGAAGGUCUCACAGUCACCUGAGCCAAGGUUUUAGCAAAGAGAUAUUUAUUGCGUAAAAUCUGUGCCCAAGUGGCCUCCGUCUCAGAUGACAACUUAAAAAGCCACUUGCUAAGGAGACAUAUAUUUUUGAUUUCCAGAUUUCCAAUACCUAGGCCACCUUGGUCCUUAGGUCUGCAGAUAAUAUCCCACUUCACAAGUCUAUACUUCCGUUUAAGCUCAUCAAUUUGCCAAAAGAAUCGAGAUCGAUAGAAAUCUAACCUUUUCCUAACUCCAACCGGAACCAAGAAAAAGGAUAACAGAAACAUAGGCAUACUAGUAAGGACCGAAUUAAUCAGAAUUAAUCGACCUCCAUAUGACAUGAGCUUUCCUUUCCAACAGCUCAGUUUCUUUUCAAAACGAUCCUCAAUACAUUUCCACUCAAUAUUAGUUAGCUUACAAUGAUGAAUGGGUAUCCCUAAAUACGUAAAUGGUAAAGAACCCAAUUCACAUCCGAACAAUUGUUGAUACGAGUCCCGGUCAUCAUUUGCUCUUCCAAAGCAAAACAAUUCGCUCUUGUGGAAGUUGAUUUUAAGCCCAGACAAUUGUUCAAAUAAGCAAAGCAGCAGCUUCAUGUUCCUUGCUUUCGCUAUAUCAUGUUCCAUAAAUAUGAUAGUAUCAUCAGCAUAUUGAAGAAUGGAUAUCCCGCCGUCUACUAGAUGUGGAACCAGGCCACCUACCUGUCCUGCAUCCUUUGCCCGACCUAUUAAAAUAGUCAGCAUAUCAGCCACUAUGUUAAACAGGAUCGGUGACAUAGGGUCUCCUUGCCGUAGCCCCUUGUGUGUUUGGAAAUAAUGACCCACGUCAUCAUUCACCUUAAUCCCGACACUCUCUUUUUGCGUUAAAGAGUCAAUUUGAUUUCUCCAGGCCGAAUCAAAACCUUUCAUACGCAAAGCUUGUUGAAGGAAAGGCCAUUUGACUUUAUCAUAUGCUUUUUCAAAAUCCACUUUAAAAACUACGCCAUCAAGUUUUUUGGAGUGGAUUUCAUGGAGCGUUUCAUGCAAGACAACAACCCCUUCCAGGAUGUUUCUAUCCGGCAUGAAAGCUGUCUGGGACGGCUGAACUACUGUGUGUGCUAUUUGUGUAAGCCUGUUUGUCCCCACCUUAGUGAAGAUUUUGAAACUCACAUUUAGCAGACAAAUGGGUCGAAACUGCUCAAUCCGAACAGCCUCUGUCUUCUUAGGCAGAAGAGUUAUCGUCCCAAAAUUUAGCUUGAACAAUUGAAGCUGCCCCUCAAAAAACUCGUGAAACAUGGGCAUCAAGUCUCCCUUGAUAAAAUGCCAACACUUCUUGUAAAACUCCGCCGGAAACCCGUUCGGCCCUGGAGCCUUGUUGUUCUCCAUUUGAGUAAUAGCCUCAAACACCUCUUUCUCCGAGAAAGGAGCAGUCAAGAGCUCAUUCUCGACAGUCUCAAGUUGAGGCACAUCCUCAACCCUAGACUCAUCCAACGACACGAAAGUCUCUACCGGGGGACCAAACAACUGUUUAUAAUAAUUGGUAAUAUAAUCUUUGAGAUUAUCCUGACCAACUAUCGUCCCUUCAUCUUGUUCUAAUUGGAAAAUUCUUUUUUUACGAUGCUUCCCAUUCGCAAUCAUGUGAAAGAAUUGAGUGUUAUCCUCGCCUUCUACGAUUUUGCGAACCUUGGCUCGCAAAGCCCACUUCAAUUCCUCCUCACGGAGAAGCUUUUUAAGCUGCAUCUCUGCAUCUAUCUUUGUUUCCAACUCAUUGGAAUCCAAGAUAGAGGUUUCUGCUUUAGCUUCGAAGUUUUGAAUGAUUAGAAGAAGUCUGUCCUUCUCCACCUUAUAAAUCCCAUGCGUGUGCUUAGCCCAGCCACGAAGGAAUCGACGGAGAUGACGAAUCUUGGAUUGCCAUCUGUCGAUAGGCAUCCUACCUCCCGAGUCCAUAGCCCACUCUCUAGCUAGCAACUCGAGGAACCCUUCUCUUUCAAACCAGGCAAGUUCAAACGAGAAAAUGUUCUUGUUUCCCACGAAAUUUUGAACUCCGGAGUCGACUAGUAGCGGUGUAUGAUCCGAGACACCUCGAGUCAAAGCCUGCACCGUUACCAGGGGAAACUUCUGUUCCCACUCGACACUAGCUAGCACACGGUCAAGUUUCUCAAAAGUCGGGACCGGUAACGAAUUAGCCCAAGUGAAUUUCCUACCCGAGAGCUCGAUCUCUCUGAGAUCCAAACUCUCAAUGAUGGUGUUGAACAUAAAGGGCCAUCGACCGUCAAAAUUGGCAUUAUUCUUGUCCUCUUUUCUUCGGAUAAUGUUGAAAUCCCCUCCCACUAAGAGAGGUAACUGUUCAUUACCACAGAUGCGCACCAAAUCUGCCAAGAAAUCUGGUUUGAGUUCUGGUUGUGCAGCUCCGUAAACUGCCACCAAAGCCCAAUCAAACCCAUCUGCCUUAGAUCUAACCCGAAACUUGACAGCGAACUCGCCCAUAACUACGCUCCGAACCUCCAACGUUUCACACUUAACCCCAAGUAAAACCCCGCCGGAUCUUCCCCGAGGUGGGAGGCAAUGCCAAUCAAAAUCUACCCCCCCCCAGACAAAGUGGCAAGAAAUUGAUUAGUGAAAUUGCUUCUUCCAGUCUCGGACAAAGCAAUAAAAUCUAAAUGAUGUUCAAGAGAAGCAUCCGCUAGAAACCUCCUUUUAGCCAAGUCUCUAAGACCUCUGCUAUUCCAGAAAAUGCCUCUCAUAAGUCAUCAUGAAAUUUUUUGGCAGUACGGAUCCUAGCACUCCUACGCACUGCGGAAACUGGAUAAACCUUUCUUUUCCAUGUCCGCUUAGGCUUCACUUGACCAUCAACCUAAACAUAGCCCUCAUUCUCAACUUCUAGCACUAAAGGCUCAUCUACAUGAAGAGACGUCUCAGGCUGUGAGUCUUCCUCUGCCUCGAGACAUGCAGGGUCAAGAUCGGCACACAUACCAUCGAGAACCCUAACCCCAAGCGCAACAAUCUCCGAAUCAUUCAUUGGUUUAACUGCAGCUAUGUGACGAAUCAUAUCUACCGCACGCUCAGCUUCCAAAUCAAGAAUGUCGUUAACUGAUUUAGCAAUUUGAAGAUCAUUAUUACCAAGUGAAAUUCCUAGUUGAUUUGCAUUAUGGAUGAUUUCAUUAUCAGUGAAAUGCAAAAUGGAAUUUGACUUAAUAACAGACAUACCGGUGGUGGUCUCGACGUCCUGCAACUUGGCAGCCCUCAAAGCACACCGCAGUUGAAUGUCAUCGACGUCCGGCUGCUCCUGCAACCUCCCGCUGAUCCGCCUUCCCUGGGUGACAGGAUCCGGGAUACCACCAAAGGCGAUGACCUCCUCGCAGGAAGCCCUGCAAGGGGAGAGACCUCCUGCCCCUCCCCCCACAGCGACGCCCCGGGUCGCCGUCACCAGCGCAGGAGAAGAAGUCGGCGGCGCCGCCUGCAGCCCGUCAACAGGCGACCCACCAGCAGCUGGCUCUGGAGCAGCCCACACGCCGUGCACCGAGGAGGAGGCAGUAGCUGCAGUGGCUCUACCCAGCCCACCUAACACAGUGGGGGCCGGUGAGCCGACUACCCCCUGCCCUGGCGCACUAACGGCGGCGUGAAAAGGUGAGGACUCCUCCCUAGCCAGGGAGGCCGGACUGGCCUGUGAAGACACCGGUCUUUGACCAACAGCCGACCCUCCCAGAAGAUCAGUAGCCGCCUCUGAUGCCGGCAAGGAAGGAGAGCGCGGUGCGUGGGCCUCCUGCCCGCUAGACCCGUCCGAGGCCCGCCGAGCCUCCGAAGUGGUCGUUACUACUGCGCUGACCCUGAGUCCCGACGAUCCGCGCACCGGCAAAGCAGAGAAGGACCUGACCGUACUCCCGGCCAGCUCCGCCGAGUCGUCCAAAAGAGUCGUCAUGUCCAGCCGCGGUACCGGCGAUGAAGGAGGAGAAACAACCUCCUGUGCAGAAAGUCUGUCCGUUUCCUCAGCCCUCAAGACCUCCGAAAUCACCGGUGGCACAUGCUCAGACGGAUCAUCCAGCUCCACACGAUCACUCCAAAGACGAGGAGGCGCAGAGAAAGCCCCUACGGAGCCUAGCUGAAGCAUGUUGGACGGUGCCGAAACCGGUGUUUUCCCCUGAGCAGACUCUGCUGGCUUAGACGAAUCCACAGGCCUGGAACCCCUGUCACCAUCACCGGGUGCGUCAUCUCCACGGUUCCCAGGAGCACCUCCCCCCUCAGAGGUAUCCAUAGGUAGCAGCUCCUCAAAAUCCUGAAACAAGUCCGGAUCCUCAUACUCGACAUUCAACAUGUAAGCAAUACCCUCAUAACACCAUCUGACCACAUCCGGCAAGAACUGAAUGUUAGCCACGCUUAUCAACAAACGAGCUACACCGUGAGCACGAGUGAAAGGCAUAUCCACCUGCUCCGUCUUACCGAGCAAGGACCCCAAGCUCCACGUGACAAAGAAAUCAUCCAAGGGCUCGGAAGGUGCCCCCGAAAAUCGAACCCAGAUCUGAGUCAGUGGUGUGCCCUGCGGUUCCUUCUUUUUCCACUCAUCAAACUGCAACACAAAGCUAGUUCCAGUAACUCGACUCAUGCCAAACUUGAGAAUCCUCUUCUGAUCCUCUUUAGAAGGGAAAUCCACUUUGUAAGACUUAUCAGAAAGUUUCAACAAGGACCAUUUGAAAUUCCCCGGAGCCAAUUCCCGCAACUGCUGAAUUAUCUGGGCUUCAGUGAGCGGUCCGGUGACCACCUUAACCACCCCAGGGAAUGAGGUUUCAACGACAGGAGCCACCGAAGCCACACUUGGUGACUCAAAGAACAUCAACUCAGAGCAACAGAGCCCGUAGAUAUUAAGUGUCGGUUUGGGUCCGAGAAGAAGCGGACACUCAGCCGCUACAUGCUUAGGUUUCCGACAAAUAUCACAUAGCUUAGCAGAGCAGUCAACCAUGAAGUGACCCGUCUCCCCGCACCGGAAACAGACUAAUUUUUUCUUCUUAGCCGCCCACUUGGACAACUAGUCACCUCCGGCCUUCUCCGAACCUUUAUCAGACUCCGCAUCAUCCGAUUGUGCUAUCAUCGGUACAGACACAUCAGCGAGAGCCUUAACCGUCUCCACCACUGCCUGGGUUAGACCCGCCUCAUCAGUGGCCAUCUCAGCAGUUUCCGAGGCUGCGGCACCGGGCAAGUUACGUGGAGGGCGCCUAUAUCCACCGCGCCCACCACAGAAGCGGCCACGGAAGCGGCUCGGGCCAACCGCACCCUCAACAAAGUUCCCCGGUGGUCCUUGAAAGCCCCGGCCAGCAUUACCAUGAUCCGUCCAAGCGUAGCCUCGCCCACCACUGGUGGACGACGAACCUCGGUGAAGACCCUGACCGUAGGCGUCGUAUCCAUCAUCUCCCCACUGACCACGGGGAGGAUUGCGGCUGUCCCCCGCGAGCACACCCGAUCCACGGCCGGCUACACCAUUGGCAGCACCUCCCCGGCCGGCUACACCAUUGGCAGCCCCUCCCCGGCCGGCAGCCAUUUGCCUAGGCCAAGGUCGUUGCGGCGGCGGCUGUGUGGCCCCAUGCUGUGGCGGCGCCGCAGCCCUGGCUACAGCCGGCGCAGCCGGCGCCGGUGUCGAANNNNNNNNNNNNNNNNNNNNNNNNNNNNNNNNNNNNNNNNNNNNNNNNNNNNNNNNNNNNNNNNNNNNNNNNNNNNNNNNNNNNNNNNNNNNNNNNNNNNNNNNNNNNNNNNNNNNNNNNNNNNNNNNNNNNNNNNNNNNNNNNNNNNNNNNNNNNNNNNNNNNNNNNNNNNNNNNNNNNNNNNNNNNNNNNNNNNNNNNNNNNNNNNNNNNNNNNNNNNNNNNNNNNNNNNNNNNNNNNNNNNNNNNNNNNNNNNNNNNNNNNNNNNNNNNNNNNNNNNNNNNNNNNNNNNNNNNNNNNNNNNNNNNNNNNNNNNNNNNNNNNNNNNNNNNNNNNNNNNNNNNNNNNNNNNNNNNNNNNNNNNNNNNNNNNNNNNNNNNNNNNNNNNNNNNNNNNNNNNNNNNNNNNNNNNNNNNNNNNNNNNNNNNNNNNNNNNNNNNNNNNNNNNNNNNNNNNNNNNNNNNNNNNNNNNCCUUGGCCGGCGGCGGGGCCUUGGGCGGCAUGACAUCGACAGCAACCGCAGGAUCUCGCUUCAGCCGACGCACCACAGCCGGCGGAAAUCCAACGUGCCCGCAGCGGCGAACCCUAGUGCAUACGUAUUGGUAGAUGGACGAUGAUCGUGCAUGAGAUGGCAGUCGAUCCGAUGCGAUCUCCUGUACGUCGAGGUCGGCCGGUUUUUCCUGGGUCUGUAACCCAGCUAGUCCCGGCCCAACCUUAGUAAAAAACCUUUGGCCCAAAGGCGCAACAUCGGAUGGGCCGUUCGAACCUUCUUCCGGUUGAAGCCCAUCAGCGUUAAGCAAAAAAUUCAAACGCGAGAUCCGAUCGGCACGGAUGUCGCUGGUUCUGUCGAUCGCCGGCGCCGGCGCCUGUGCCGCCAAUGAUCGCCGAGACUUCUUCCUCUUCACCACUAUCCACGACCCCUCAGUAAUGAAAUCGGACAAAGUUGGUUUAGGGAGACUUACCUUUGGGAGCGGCCCCUUCCAUGGCCGGAUCGCCGCUGCCGCCGUUCGCCUAUGAACCAUCCGACGCACGAUCUCGAUCUUGUCCUCUGGUCCCAAACCUUGCCGUGCAGGAUCAUCAACUGGCACACUGCCAUCGACUAUGUCAGCCACAUCGUCUUCCGAGUAGCCAAGGUCGAAAGCCUCGCAUAUCACCGACGACGGCGUCGGCGAGUAGGCUACCGGUGAACCUCCGGCGCUGUCCCCGUCAUCUUCGCCCUCUGGUUCAGACUCCGCGAGAGCCCAAAACCUACCACCGACGCAUCCCACACCGGAGAUGGUCGCCGGCGGCAGCCCCGUAGUGGCCGCCACGGGCGUCUCCCGUGUCGCCCGCGUCGCCCUACUUCCCACCGACGGCCCAUCCGAAGGUUUAGGCAUGGGGCUAGAACCCAAGUCAAUCGAAGGUAACGGCCGGACCGACGUUACCGGCACGUCCACCUCGUCUUCCUCCUCGUCAGCAAGAAUCCAAGAGCGACCCCCAAACCUUUGCGUCGGCUUUGAUCCAUCGGAUUCCUCCGUGAGAUCAACAGUGGCAAUUUGUUCUUCACCCUCCGGGGGUACCUGCACCCACUCAAUAACCUCGAUGUGAAACAAAUCAAUAACGAAACACAUACCAAUAUGAAGAUCUUCUUCCGCGGAUAGAUGCCUUCCGGCCAAAAUAUCUCCUUCAUCAUCACGGAUCGUCGUCCAACGAGACGGGUGUGAGUAGAUCAUGCCACUGAUCCAUCGCCCCAUCGCAUGCUUAUCCCGAAAACGAGCCUUCCAUUUCGUAGGAUUUUUGAAUCCCCGAUCCCGAUCCUCAUCCUCCGUCGAAGAAGAAACCGGGGAAGGGGAUGGAUCAACUCGCGGAUUUGAAUCCACCGCGGGCGGUUGCCGGAUCCCAUCCGAAGGGCUUGGAGAUCCCGGUAACAGCCGCAGCGGCGGCGGCGGCGGAAUCGCCGAGUCCCCGGCUGGGAUCGCCUGGCAGAUCAGCGUCAGAGAUGAUCCUCCUCCGGCAUCAGCCAGGCCCGACUCCUGAGCCGGCGCGAAGGGCGGCGGAGACUCAGGCAAGAUCGGCGUCGGCGGUGGCACUCGCCCGUCGCCACCCCAGUCGACCAUCAACGUUCGGCCCUUGUUAGUUUCUUGGGGGCUUUAUGAUGAAGAAGAGGCCCACGUCGCACAUCAACGUCAGACAUUCAAUGGCUACACGUGCAAAAUUACCAAAGACAUUGAUAACUUCACAAAUUUCUGUAUUGUUCUGGACAAACUGUAGCCUUCAUCAAUAACAAGUACUCCUUUCGUAAACUAAUAUAGGAACAUUUAGAUCACUACUUUAAUGAUCUAAACGCUCUUAUAUUAAUUUACAGAUAAGGUACUAAAUACAUUUCGUAGCUGCUUUGGCGGUGACACAUGGGACCUAUAUUAUAGUUAAACAUAAAUUGACUCCUUCAAUGCCUGCGUUGGAACGCUUGGUUUCCGACAAGGCCACGUUGUUUUCAUCUAGUAAACAUGGUAGUUAAAACAUGUAGGACCUACCACUUUUUACAUGCGCAAUACAAACAUGCACGGAAUGGCAAAAGUACAAACAUACACAUAGGACCUACCACUUUUUACAUGCGCAAUACAAACAAUGAAUGCUCAUUAAUAAUGCAUGUGUGAUUCCCUAGGGCUAACCAAAAAGUACCAUGCACAAGGAUUCGAGAGGAUUAGAAGGGAAAAAAAUUAUCGGGACUGGAUGGCAAAAGGGGGUAUGAGAACCGAAUGAAGCCUAAAAAUGACGAUGGCGGAGUUAUGUCGAAGUCGGGGAGGGGGGAGGUCUUGCUUGGAGGGUUUUGUUAUUUGGGGUAAUUUUUGCUAGCUGCGCCACAAGCGUACGUAAUAAAAUAAUUUUUUUUAUAUUUCUUUAUAGAGGGAGUAGAUAUUAAAUUAAGUUUGCAAAAGCUGGAUGUUAAAGUAGCUAUAUGUGAAUUAAAAUUAUAAUUUUUGUCUAUUAAAAGCAUAGAAGGUGGCGUAUGUGUGUGUGCGCGCGCAGUGGUCGGAGAUGGACAGUCGUGCUCUAUGCUGCACUGUUCUGACUACAGGUGAUGUGUGGCCUGCCGUUUAGGUCACUUGAAGUCAGCUUAGUCUGAGGACACUUUAAUUAAGGUCCAGCUUAUUAAUUAACAUAACAGGGCAUUUGGUCUAGUGGUAUGAUUCUCGCUUUGGGUGCGAGAGGUCCCGAGUUCGAUUCUCGGAAUGCCCCUUUUUUUCUUCCUUUUGUCAAUUUUAUUUUGCUUGCAUAGGUCUUCUUUUUGCGGGAGUUCUGGAUAGGUCUCUUUUUUUUGCGGGGAAAAGGGAGAUUUCUAUUACUCAAGAAGGCAAAUCAGUCAUAACCAAGUUUACAAUGUCACGUAUACUCGAGCCCAGCCACACGCCACAUCCUCACGUGGCUAACUUUAUUUUGCGAGCGACUAAUAAAAGUAAUAGAGAUCUCCCUAGCUUCAGCAUCCUUCAUCCUCUUGAUCUCUUCAACUGGCACGCGGUGCCUCGAGCGGUCCCUUCUCGAAGCGUUCAACAUAUUCACAGCUUUCACACUAUCCAUCUUAAUGAUAAUGGGCAAGUCAGACCGGUGUAGGGCCAAUUCGAGCCCCUCCCUACAUGCAGCCAACUCGUCUUCCAGGGCAUUAUCACAUGUGCGAUUUUCCCUACAAGCAGUGAAAAUUAUGCCUCCCCGGUCUGACCGCAGGACCAUGCCUCCUCCAGUUGCUCCUGUUGCUGGUACAUAGCUACCAUCAACAUUCAAUUUUGUCCAGCUGGCUGGAGGUAACACCCACCACACUUCGGCCUUCUGUUGUCCAUGUUGUGGUGGCGCCAAAGCAUCAACCUGAACCACCAUCUCCCCUUUCUCCAUGUUACUUUGGGGCCAGUGGUGGAUGCAUAACAAGGAAUUGAUGUAGCCUUGUAAAAAUCUAAGUGAUGCUUCCGUUGUGGGUGGGGACUUGCCAUGAGUUAUUUCAUUCCGCACAUACCACACACGCCACAUUGUCAUGAGGACAAUCAUACGUGUAGUAUCAGAUAGCGGUUCCAAAAGUGAGAACAACCAUUCUGGGCCGGUGUGCAUGACGUCCUCCACCUUGGGUAUGGGCCAGUCACGUGCCAUAGCACGCCACAACUCUUUCACUAGGGGGCACCUGCACAUAGCGUGGAAACCAUCCUCUCGUUCCACACCACAAAGGGGACGCACAUCAAAGAGUUCGAGGUGUCGAGAGAAUUUAUUUGCCCAAGUAGCGAGCGAGUUGGAAACCAGCCUCCAUGCAAAGACUCGUACCAUUGGGGGAGCAGGGCACCCCCAUAUGAUCUUCUAGAUGGCGCGAUGACCAUCCGGUGCCCUGCUCGUUGCGGUCGCCAAUGGACGCCUGCGCUCGUCCAUGACAAGGCGAUAUGCGGAGCGAACGGUGAAGAUGCCGUUCUUCUCUGAGGCCCAUGCGAUAACGUCGUCGGUGAUGUGGGGUGGCGUGCGAAUGCUGGUGAUGGUCGCGACAUCCGCCGGGAGAAAAUACUGUCGCAGCACAUUCGUACGCCAGGCGCCGGACUCGUCCAGAAGCUCUGAGACCCGCCGAAGAUGGCAAGUCCCUUGCCGCGUGAUCGGCUGCCCCGUCGGUUCCGUUGGGAGCCAACGGUCACGCCAUAUGCGUAUAUUCCGGCCAUCACCGACGCGCCAUACAAUCCCCUUCUUGAGGAGCUCGAGGCCGUACUGAAUGGUCUGCCACGUGGGAGAGGCGUUCCCCGAGAAGACAGUGUCCUCAAGUCGACCGUCUGGAUAAUAUCUGGUUUUAAGGACCUGCGCACAUAAACUAUUAGGGUUAGAAAGAAGUCGCCACGCCUGUCGCGCCAAUAAGGCUUGGUUAAAGAGACGGAAGUCUUUAAACCCCAAGCCGCCCUUCAUUUUAUGUGCAAGAAUAUUUGGCCAAGCUGUCCAAUGUGUUUUCCUUUUUUCCUCAGACGAACCCUACCAGAAAUUCCGCACCAUCCUGUUGAGGUCAUUGCACACUGACAUUGGGAGUUUAAAAACCUCCAUAAUAUAUGUUGGGAUCGCCUGUGCAACAGCCUUGAUCAUAAUCUCCUUACCAGCCAGUGACAACGUAUCUCCCCAUGCAAUGAUCCGCUUGAAAAGCCUCGGCUGCAAAUUCUGAAAUUUCCCCCGAGACAUACGCCCGUCAGGGGUAGGCAGGCCCAAAUACUUUUCCUCAAAAGUGGUUAGGCUGACAUGGAGCAUCGCACGAACCUUCUCUUGAUUGUUCUCGGUACAAGAUUUACCAAACAGUACGCUGCAUUUGGCCGGAUUAAUACACUGCCCUGUUGCUUUCUCAUACGUGUUGAGUAGCUCAUGGACCUUCAUUGCUUGUUCCUCCUCUGCUUUGAAAAAUAAAAGCGUGUCGUCUGUAAACAACAAGUGGGAGACACCAGGAGCCCGUCUGCACACCUUUAGCAGGGUAAAGUCGCCCCUAUCUUCUCCAUCCUUCAACAAAGCCGAGAGCCCGUCAGCCACAAAAAGGAACAAAAACGGGGAGAGAGGGUCACCUUGCCAAAGCCCACGCGUCGGUGCAAACGAAUCCAAGAGGGUCCCAUUAAAUUUAAUUGUAUAUCUCACCGAGGUGACACAAGUCAUAAUCCAGUCCACUCACCGGCGAGCAAAACCCAUCUUUUGCAUCGUUCGCUUCAAGAAGGUCCAAUCUACCCCGGCAUAAGCUUUGGACAGAUCCAUUUUUAAGCGCAGAAACUUUUUUCCGGGUCUUUCUCUUGCUGAAUAUGAUGUAUACACUCAAAAGCAACUAGAGCAUUAUUAGUGAUCAGUCGUCCAGGGACAAAAGCACUCUGAGCAGGUGAAAUAAUGUCAUCCAAAAAAGGCCUCAACCGAUUAACCAAGCAUUUAACAACUACCUUGUAAACGACAUUGCACAAACUGAUAGGUCUGAACUCGGUGAGUUUUUCUGGGUUAUUUACCUUAGGGAUGAGAACAAUGGAGGUGUUGUUCACCCCAUCCGGCAUUACGCCCGUCCUGAAGAAUUCUUUCACACCGCUGAUUACGUUCUCUCUCAUGACCGCCCAAUUCCUCUGGAAGAAGCGGGCAGGAAACCCAUCUGGCCCGGGGGCUUUAAGCGGCCCUAUCUGGAACAAUGCAUCUGCAAUCUUCUUGUCCGAGAACUCUGCACAUAGCUGGACAUUCAUGUCAUUAGCAACUCAUGUAUUAAUCAAAUCAAUAACCGGAUCAGCACAUAAUGACGUAUCUGCGGCGAACAGUGAGGCGAAAUAAGAAGUCGCCAUAGCAGUCAUGGACACAUGGUCUUUGUGGGUAACUCUGGCGUCAUCCACAAGGGCCUUGAUGCGAUUUUUCCGUGCCCUCCAAACCGCUUUCCGGUGAAAGAACUGUGUGUUUCAGUCUCCCUCACGCAGCCAAGCAAUGCGAGAUCUCUGCAUCCACAACAUUUCUUCAUGGUACAGUAGUUCAUUCAAACGAUCAUUGACCUCCCUUAUCUCUUUGCGGUAUGUAUUCAUAGACAUGAGCUCCUCAAGGCGAGAACGAGAUUUAUUAAUUUCUUUCAUCACAUUACCAAAUUUCUUGCGGCUCCAGUCUCGGUUCUGGAACCGUGACUAAAGUAUCGUUACUAAAGCCUCCCCCUUUAGUCCCGGUUCUUACACAAACCGGGACUAAAGGUCGUUCACGUGGCCGCUGUCUGUAACACCAACCGGGACUAAAGGUAAUUUUAUGAAAAAAAUGAUUUUUUUAACUUUUUAUUUUUUUAUUUUCAAAUUUUUGAAUUAUUUUUCAAUUUAAUUUCUAAUCACCCAUCAUCACUGCUCUAUUUAACCUCUAAUCUCUAAUCACCCAUCAUCAUUCCAAAUCAUCUAAUUUCCCGGCCGGUCACCCAUCCUCUCACUACUCCAGUCUGAGCACGCUAAACUUUCAGGUUCUAUUCCCCCUCGUUUCCAAGUUUGCACUUGUUGUUUUCCUGACAAUAGUAAGAUGUCAAUCCUAUUAACCCUCAUGAGUUUAGCUAUCGCAUAAAGUCACACGUUUCACUGUUUGAGUUUGAAACUAUUAUUCUAAAAAACAAUAAUUAUUUAGUAACACUAAUAUUUCUUAAAUAAGUAGUUUGACCACACUUUGACCAGAUUUGACCAAAACUCAAAAAAUUGAAAUAAUUAUUUAGUAACACUAAUAUUCUUGAAUAAUUAUGUAGUAACACUAAUAUUUCUUGAAUAAGUAGUUUGACCACAGUUUGAUCAGAUUUGACCAAAAUUCAAAAAAACUGUAGUAAUUAUUUAGUAACACUAAUAUUCUUGAAUAAUUAUUUUAGUAACACUAAUACUUCUUGAAUAAGUAGUUUGACCAUAGUUUGACCAGAUUUAACCAAAAUUCAAAAAAAAACUGAAAUUUGAGCAUAACUUUUUUUUCUUUUAGAAUUUGAGGAUUCUAAAAGAUUUCAAACAGGCCAUAGGCUGUCAAAAUCGGAUGUGGAUUUUCAUGCUGAACAUUUUGAUAUAUUAUACGUUUUUUUCCGACAUCGUAUGCAAAAGUUAUAGCCGUUUUACUUUUUCAUGACACUUUUUUGCAAAACAUGUCAAAAUUUAAGUUUUUUAAUUUUCCUAACUAGUAGAUGUAGUAAUAUAACUACAUCUCGAAGAAACAUGUCUCAAAUCAGGACUAAAGGUCUAAUCUCGAACCGGGACUAAAGGCCAUCGCACCCUUUAGAACCGGGACUAAUGGGCUUAUCUGACCCGAACGAAAGCCCUGUUUUCUACUAGUGGAGUCUCCUACUGAGUAAUAUUAAAUCCUUGAUAAGAACCCCAUAUAUAGAUCAAAACCAUGUGGUCAUCUGUUCAAAGUUGUGAUCAGAAACGUGCUUCCAAAACAAAUAUAUAUUCCUAAUAACAUGUCAAUAAUUUGCCACCAAGUAUUUUGUGAUUUGUAGCUGUACUACACAUGUGUGGUAUCCUCGAAGACAAUGCGAAGGUGCAAUCCAUUGUUCUGCCUUGCAUCUUAAGCAGAACCCCAUAUAGUAGAUCAAAACCACGUGGUCAUCUGUUACUUGUGAUCAGAAACGUGCAUUCCAAAGUCCAAAACAAUAUAGAUUCCUAAUAACAUGUCACUAAUUUGCCACUAAAUAUUUUGUGAUUGUAGCUAUCUUACAUAUGUUUGCUAUCCUCCAAGACAGUCCGAAGGUGUAUGCACACAAAAGAUUCGGAGUUCUAUGAGAAUAAUAAGGAAAAGGAAGUGAAGGAUACUAGUAAUGAAUAGUAGCCUACAGAGUUGUGCCACUGCGUGCGGCUUGUGAACAUAUAUAUAGCUGGGCCGAUAUCACUACCAAACGCUAGAAUACCAUCUGGCCUUAGCGUUGGUUCAUCUCGGAGCUCUGAUCCGUGUCACCCGACUGCGACACCGGCUGACUGGUGCUCCCAUUUCCACCCCCCGCCGGCGCAUCAUUCAAAGCGGCCUGCGUCGGGAACCGUGCUGGAUGCAACGGUGGCGGGCGCCCCAGGAACGGGCGGGGCCGCUUGGCGAUGGCCCGGCCUUGGAACGGGCGGGGAGCGAACGGGCGCCCCAGGUCGCGCGAAGCCGGCGGGAGAAACCCGAAGCGUUGCCUCGCGAGCGGGCGCUCCUGGAACGGCCGCGGCCGGGGCAAUGCCAACGGUCCUUGUUGGAAGGUGAGCGGCGCCGGCGGCGGGCGGUGCUGGUGGUGCUGGAGCGCAUGUGGUGGCAGAUCGCCUAUGGCCACCAGGUACUCCGCGGCGAGGCGGCCGGCCUCCAUGAGCACCGCCUCCCUCCUUUGCGGCGUCAUCUGCUCCUGCUGCUGUGGCGGCGGCUGGCGGUAGGCCAUGUUGCUCCCGUCGCGGAAGCAGGCGCCGCCGUGGACGUAGUACGCGCCGGAUGGGGCCGUGCUGGGACGGGGCGCGUAGCCUCCUCCGGGCUGCAUCGGUCUUGGUCGCCGUGUGCAAAGCUCGCGCUGUUUGAAGCAGCGCAGAGAACGAUAAAGCUCGACACGAUCCAACUCGACGCGAGGUCAGCGUUGCCACGAGGGCCGGUUCCUGAUUUUAAAGGCUGUCGGACUCCGAGCCGGUGGCGGGUUCGAGGCCUUGAAUCUUACGCAACGGCUAGCAAGUCGGACGCGAGUCACAACAAUUUCAAAUCGAUCCUGUAGCUGGACAAGGUAGAGCAACAUAUCUGCAGAGGCUGGCCGGCAUAUCCAGUCAGCGAACAGUACGUAAUGCGAACAUGGUGGCUUUGCUUUCUUGACACAAAUAGCUAGGGUGAGCGAGCUUGAGAAAGGGAGACAUCUUUCAGUAUAAUCGCUCAAGUGUAAAUAUCAGAUCAAACGUAAGCAAACACCAGAGAGAUGAACCUUGCAGUUUGAACAAUGAACAAGACAAACAUUCCCUGUCCCCUCUAUCAAAUGAUGGACAAGUGACACCGUAUUCAAUCGGAGGGAGUAUUACUUUGUGCACAUUCUACCUCCAACAAAGUUCAUACAUACAUACUAAAUUGUGUUGUUAACACAUAUUUCCAUGGGAUAUAUUUUAUCAAUUAUUAAAACAUCACCACUAAUUUACAUCAAGGACCGAGGACCUCUAACCUACAUACCUUCUUCUUCCCGGUAUCUUUUCCGGAAGCCACACCCAAUGCCAGGGCUAUUUUGAUUUCUCCAGAUCAGCUUGCUCUGUUUUUCCUUCCCGUGUGUUGCAAAUAAAAGUUUCUGCACAAAAUCAUCCAGAUUAACUUUAUUAUGCGUAAACACUAGCAGCAGUUUUAUGGCAUCAGAGUCUGUUAGCAUAUAUACCUGUCUCGCUCUCUUGUCGACGGGAGUCCAUGUUGGAUCAAUGGACGGCUCCCUCCUGUUUUCAUGACUUGCACUUGGUUGCAUCUUGAAAUCUUUCCUUGCCCUAUGGGUAUGCGCUUUAGGUCCUUCUCUGGCUUUCCCAUAACGUUGAAUCCCAACAGAUGGGCUCCGAUCCCUCAAAGGAGUUUCUCUAUCCCCUCGGUAUCUGAAGGAAUCAAUAGGUGGAGGACUUAGAAUCUUGGAAGCACCAUCCCUCAUCCUCGAGCUUGACAUCAUUGCUGGUGUAUUGCAUCUUGAUCUCUCCUGACAUGCUCUUCUUUUCUCGUUCAUUUGCCUUAGAUAAUCCAUUUCCCAGCCUGAGCCGUGUGAAGUUGCAUGAGAGCCAGAAUCCUGUUUCAGAAAAGCAAGCGAACUUCCUGGACUCUGAAUUAUUUCCUCUCUUGGUUCACGAUAUCUGCUGCCCAUUUCAUUUCUGCAAGCAGUUGAAUUAUCCCCACCCUUCCACGUGCGAUGCGUACCUCCUGGAAUGUCCCAGUCACCAGUAUCAUCAUUGAUCUCCAAUGCAGCUGGAAAUACUGGAUGACUGUAAGUUCUAUUGAAUGAUGGUUUGCUUGGGGGAAAAGAGUUUUUGAUUCGUUCUCUACCCACUGAUUCAGGUUGCCAAGAGAUGUCAUAUGUGUCGACCAUACCGCUAGCCCUUCGGUCAUAAUGCCUCAUAUCUGUAGUCAAACCAUUGCUGAAAUGAUCACUCAUGAUCUGAUUGCCAAUUAUUGCAUCAGUAUCGUGCUCUCUUGGUACACAAGAGACCCCUUCACCUCCCCUACUCAAACUUUGAUCAAACAUAAAGACCUCUGGGAACUGAGGCAUUGCAUCCUCCACAUCAGAGCACCUCCUGAACUUGGGCUGUGAGAAUACAUUAUGUUCCACAUAGUUACCAGGCAAUCGGUUUAGAGGAUCGGGAUGGAGGCGAUCACUAGUUGGUACUGCAAAAGCUUGUGAGGCACACUUUUUCCUUUUCCUUGGAGACUGCAACAAUGCACUACAGAUGUCUGAAUCUACAGAAGAGCAAUCGGUCAUUACAGACUUAGAUUCACCUAGCUCACCAAAUUUGCACAAAGCAUUGAACAGAGAAAUGCUCUGCGGAGACAACAGGUACUUUUCAAUAGCCUGAAUGCGGCGCUCAUGUGACCAAUUGAGGAACUCCACAAGGCUGCCUCCACAAGAAAGAAUAAUGUAUGCAGACAAGGGAUUGACUGAAGGGAAUUUUGUGAGAAAUGAUUCAGCCAAGCUUUCUGAUUCAGGUAUAUCUGGAGAAGGAGCUUUAUUCAACCUAUUCACAUUCCUAAUGCAACUGAGAAUUAUCUCAUCUGCCGACUUGGGGGUGCGUGAGAAGAAUAGCUGCAGGUUCAUGCCCAGACUAGCAGCUGCAGCAUAUAGAGAAUCAGAUGACUCCAUUACAGAAGAAAGGGAGUGAGCUUCACCUUCAAAGACCUACAAAAGUAGAAACAGUGAAACGGUUCAGUUACUGCAGAUAUAACUCAAAGACAGGAAUACCAUGAUGACUCUAUCAGGAAAAAGCAAAAAUCUCAGGAGUUCAAAACCAAUUACCAUUAUGCAACCACAGAAACAGAAACUAAUUGACAUCAGAAUGUUGGUUGCGAUGGUCUCUAUAAAAUUUGUUAUACUAGAUGCUUCUGUUGACGCUGUGAAUUCAUUGCUCUCAAAGAUUUUGGUCUCAAACCAUACUAAGCAAACUGAAGCACUGAGUAUUAGGUCCACCAGAAGAUCAACAUCUCGUUCCACAACCUGCAUUCCUCCUUUCUCCAAAGAUAGUAUCUGCUGAUAAGACGAUCUCCGAGAGAAAAUCAUAUUCUUUCCGUGACUUCCAGUAUUUACAACAAUCACCGGGUUAGAUAAUCUUCCAGGAAUGAUGCUGCCAACUUUUACACUCAAAGGCAAGUCAGUAGCAGAUAGAUUGUCUUGUGGGGCUUUUAUCACAUUUGCAGAUACAGAAGUCGAGCUGCUCUUCUCAAGUGCAGACACAAAAUGUCGUGAAUGGAGAACAGUUCUUUUGCUCAACAUUUCCUCUAUGUGCCGCUCUUCAGCUGCAGGAACAAAAUUAUGUGCAUCAACAAUAUUCUUUUUUUCCAAAUUUUCUAGUCUGAGCAGUUGAUCAUCUGCAGGUAUUUUUUUUGUUGAAUCAGCAGUGAGAUGUUUGCACAGAUUUUCCUGCCGUUCUUGCAGUUGAGUAGUUGCUGGCACAAAGUUCAAUGAAUCAACAAUACGCAUCUUGCUCAUCUUCUCUUGCAAAUCCUUCUUAAGUGCAUGCAGAACCGUAUCCUGCAAAUAAUCAGCACGGAUUCUUAUUUCUUCGUAGGCAUUUAUGUUUUGCCCCAUCAACCAUUGGUAGCACCCUAAUGAGGGUCUCAGAAACAAAAUCUGAAGAAUUCAAAUGAAAUGUACACCACCCACAAGAUCCGGCAUGUAAAACCAAUGCUCAACAAAAGUAUGCAGCCAUUGAUGAACUUGGGUUCAGAAACCUAUAAUUAUUUGCAUAUCACCGGUUGCUUAUUUCUGCAAAUUUUAGUGAGAUGUGUAUGAAGUUCAAAAAUAAUACUCCCUCCGUCCAAAAUACUUGUCGUGGUUAGAGUUCAAAUUUGAACUAAAUCCACGACAAGUAUUUUGGAACGGAGGGAGUAAUAGUUUGCAUUAUUGCUCUAAUCAUCUACCUUCCAUUUUGCAGGUGGCCUUUCAUAUUUAACAUGUGCAUGGUAAAACAGUAGUGAGUUUCCAAACAGCUUGACCAACAUAUGGUAAAACCAAAACAUCAAUAAGUUCCUAAUAUCAUGACCAACAUAAGAAGAUCAAACUAAUGCAAGUGUGAAGAAGUAAUCGACAAUCACCAAUGUGGUUUUCAACUCCUGGUCUGUAGGGUUGUCCUCAACAAGUGCAAGCGAAGGGUCUUCAACAUCCACUUUGACACAGAGGAAAUGUAGUGGUGGAAAACCCUCUAACUUAGGAGCCAGAGACAACAAGGUAGAUGAUUUAUUUGGACCUCCAUAUUCCAGUAUGAUGCCAAACUCGCUGAAAGGGAAUGAAGCUGGAAUGUUCCUUCAAAAUUGAGACCAAAAUAAAUAUUUGACAAGUCACACUAAAAGUAUUAUGUGUGCAGAAAAAAAAAGGCAUCUACCUAGAAAUAAAAUGAACUCUAUUACAAAUUUUCACACCUUAAAAGUUAAGUUUUUUGUCUCUUGUGCAUGUCCUGUAAUUUAUGUGUUAUGAUAUACCAUAAAAAAUCUCCACAUAAAUAGAAAAAAGUGAAGGCUCAAAAGUAUUUUGGGAGGGCAGUUUAAUCAUCAAUGGGAACAAAAAAUGCAAGAUGGCUCGUUAAGUACCAAAGCAUUGGCCCUUCUGAAAAAUCCAAAUCCUUUUACAAAUAUACUUAUUGAGUUGUAAAUUUUAAUCUGUCUAAUCAGUUAGAAACAAAAGCCAAGUGACAAACAUGCAUGAACUGUUCAUACAACGCAUGCGCGUCUUUGCUCACAAGAUUGAAAACAAAUUUAGACUUGGUUCCAGUGAAGUUCAAAUGUUGCAAAGCACUCAGCCUGUUCAAAACUAUAACCACUAUUUUAUGGUUUCUUGUGAAUAACUGGUUUCAACAUUUUGAUUUUUAAAAGGGUCCGACACGAAAAACAAGUGGAUUGCAAUUUGCAAUACCGCAAUGACACAGCUGAUUGGAUCUUAUUCUUAUAUGAAUUCCCUUAAGUGGUUUACUCAUUCUGUAUGCUAAAUGGAAUGGAACAUUUUGGUAGUGCUUGCAUGAAAUUGUUCCAUGAGUUGGUUGCGAGAUCUUAUGGGUUUCAGCUCUAGCCUACCCCAACUUGUUUGGGACUAAAGGCUUUGUUGUUGUUGUUGCAUGAAAUUGUUUCAUCAAGGUUAACCAGAUUAUUUGUUUCUAGAAGUAACUUGGUUUGUAGAACUCAGUAAAACAAGAACUGGAGCAGAUAAUUGGCAUAAUUUGUUUAUCAUAUGCACUUACUUAUUAUCUAGCAGAACGCAGUCUGAUUUUGGUAAUCCUUCCAGCACCCAAGUUGUAGGAUUUGGAUCCAAGUAAGAUGCAGCAGGGUGUUUACCGAGCUCAACAAAUGUCAUCUUCAUCGAAAUUAAUUUUUGACCCAAUGGCAGCCAGAAAGCUCUAUCGGCAACUACAAGGAUCUUUUGGCUGAUACACGUAUUAGAUCUCAGGAUCAUCUCAAUGUCAUGCAAUGAUGGGUGAGAGUCAAUCUGAUGCUUCUCAGCUUUCCACAAUGCUUCGCCGAUGAAACAAUGACUAUUUUUUAAUCUCUCGGGAAUAUUUUCAAAGCUUCCAAUCAGGUUGUUCAUGUACAGAUGGGCAGCAUGCAAACCAAAGAAACAUAGAUAAUAUGCAACCUGUUUUAAUCCAUAGAGUACAAUGAGUUCCAUCUUAUCUUCGUGUUUACAGUGACUAUCAAGGCCAUCUGAACCUCCUUCAGUUAUCAGUCCAAGAAGCUUCUGCUUUGAAAUGCUUAAACCCCCAUCCGAGAAAGUAUGCCUCAAAUAUGCACUUUCUUGCAAAGCAGAUGUAUAGCUUGUAUGGAUGUGUUUGAUAAGGACUCGAAUAGAAUCUGAGAGGCUGACAGGAUGAAUUUCUAUGAGCUUGUCAACUUUAGGCCUGCUUGGAAAAGAAACUGCUUCUUCAUUUAAAGUAGGGAUAUCCAAAGUAGAAAUACUUUGAGCACUAGUUCCUCUCUUGGUGCCGCUUCUGACAUUCAAGUAGAAAUUUAGUUCACUGGAUUGUGACAUUGACUCGAAUAAGGAAGUUGCCUUUUCUGAACUCGACUUUUUCAUGUGACUGUGGCCUCCAGUAUCACUUUCUUGUCUGUAUUUCUGAGCUGUUUCCGCUACAGCAGGUGGAUCAUGAGGUAGAGGGAUAGGAACAUAAGUAUUGUUCUGUUUGUCAACAUCUUGGUGCUUUGCACUUCUCCAAAAAUACUCGAGAAAAUCAAAGCCAAGUGCUGAUGUCUGCUGACAACUGACUUGCAGCUCAGAGUUUAGCUGGCAACUUUUUACCUCCUCAACCAUGCUGGCAUAGGUAGAGCAGAUCUCCCGGUUGCAUGGACCUCCCAAUAAAAGAUGCCAGUCCAAAUAAAUUCUGUCGGCUGCAGAGAGAGAAUGUGGUUUCAGGGAGUUAAGUAUUUCUCCCAUGGGGGGGACCAUAGACCUCAGUGUCAUAUCUUCAUCAGUUAAAAUAGGUGUAGGUAGUGAUCUGAAUGUAUCGUCAACCAGCACCAACUCAGAGCUAACCACUGAUUCAUAGAAACGUCUUGCUUGAUAAAAGUCGUCUUUGAAUAUUUCAUCAGAUGUAUUCAGCUCAGCUGCAUCUGACUGAACAAGCAUUCUGAAGACAUCCUCUGAAGGAAAAUCAAUGAUCUCUACUUCUUCUAAAAGAACUGAACAAGGCAAGUCUGAAAAGGUCCCAUCGGGCUUGAGAGGGUAUAGUGCUGAAUUUCUCUCAAGUAGAACAUUAUCAUUGAUCCUCACAAGAUCCAUUUGUACUGCAGCCUUGACUGUCGUUGGUUUAUCUGCUUGAUAGUCUGCACAUGGGGCAUCUUUGGAAACAAAGGCCAACAUGUCCAUAUCAGUUGAUCUCAAGAACUCAGUUGAGUUCAACACUGGAUGCUGAACUUGUGCUUCACCCAAAUGUUCGACAAGGUUAUGAAAAAUAUUGGAUACCUCUGCCUUAGUGGGACACUCAUUAAGCUCCCAGGAAUGCCUACUAACCUCCAGUUGUGGUAUUGCUACACCACAAUCUAAUGCUGCAAUCGCUGAGAAGUUACUAUUUCUUGCAGACAAAAGGUCCUCAUCAUCAUUAUGCUUCACCGGGAUUUUCUCUACUUGAUAAAUUGAUUCCGCAAGUUCUGUUGGAUAUCUCAAUGUCAUCUCAGUGUCAAUAUCAAUGAAAUCCUACAAUAAAUUCAAAUAGAAGAUGGGACUAUGAGCACAUUGUAUUAAUAAAUAUCAUGAUGCUUUGAGUUAAGAGAACACAAGGGAAGCAGACCGACAACAUACUAAUACUAACCACUAAUCGAUGGGUGAAAGCAACCUUAACUGGUUUACAUAAUUGGAUAUGACUUUAUGGUAAUGAUAGAGGUUGCUAUAUAUAGUACUUGUGCAGAACAGUGGCAAGAUGAAUGUAAAUUUUUACAUCUGAAACCAUGCUGGAUACAUAAGGUACAAGGGAACCCUGCUUCACGCCAUUGCGUAUAUAACUGUAACAGUACGCAGUAAAGGAACAGCAGUAUCACAACCUCGAUAUUCUAUACACAAUAUUUUGAUCUGCCUCUUAUAACUAACUGCAGGUCUAAGCACAACGUAGAUUCUAAAAAAAAACUAACUGCUGGAAAUUUUGAUGAGAUGAUGUAAAGUACCAAGUGAAUUUUCACAUCUGGAACAUGAAAGGAUAAGGUAACACCAUCACCCGACUGGUCACCACCAAAGGAUGCACCUUCCAAAACCUGCGGGAGAUCGACCUCUGCAACCUCAAAUAUGUGCUCCUUCAGCAGUUCCCAUCUCUAACAUCACCAAAUGCAGAAAUCACACACUGAUCUCCUACGAAACAGUCACAACACAAUUGAACAACACAGGAACAAACUGUAAUCACCUUUGUAUCAGUGGAGGUCCCCGAUCUAUCUGACAUGGAUAUGGAUCCGUCUCCCUCCCCUUCCUUCUCGCGGUUAAUCUCGUCCAAUCCCUUCAAUAAACACAAAAAUUGUUCACAGAUGUUACAUGAAAAGAGGGGGGAAACCACAAAUGCAGGGUAUACAAGCAUUAAAGCUUCACUUACAUCAGGAAUUUUCAAUGCAACAGGCUCCCUCGAGCUAAAACCCUUGCUAUACACGCCCCUGUCGUAGAGGAAAUCAUCCAAUCCCUGCGUGAAGCAUCCAGGCCGUUGCAAUUCAGAAAUGCCGCACGAAUUGCCUCACAGAGUAACCAAAUUAACCAAAACAAUACGAAGCGCCCCCAAUCCGAGCUACUUAGAUUAAAACAACACGAGUAGAGAACGCGAACCACCGCAGAAAAGCCGACUCACCUCGUCGGCGGCGGGGGUAGUCGGCACAGGCAGGGGCUGCGGAAUGACGGCCGCGAGGAACUCGGACAGCGCGGAGGAUAUGGGGAGAGAGUCGAGGCCGUCGCCGGAGAUGCUGACUGCAGGGAGGUCGGCCGCGGCGGGGAAAGGGAGAGGAAACGGGAAACGCGGGUCGGGAGGAAGGGAGGGGACGGGAAGAGGAGGGAAGCGCAGGGCCGCUAGGGCUAGGGCUCGGUCCGAGCAGGAGGCCGCCGGCACCGGAGAGAAGUAGUCGGCGGCGAGGAAGCGAGUCCGCAUUGGGAGGCGGGGAACGAAGUGGGAGGAAGGAGGAAGGCGAGUGAUUUGGUUUGAAAUGUCGAGACGUUUGAAAUUGAAUCUCGCUGUGUCGUCGCGAUGUCGUCGACCGUGCUCUGGCCUUGGGCAGCUCGGUUUUGAUUGCUUUCGGCGGUGCCUCAUCAGCGUGAGGGAAAUGGUCUAAAAAACACGCACGAUACCUGUACUCUCGUGCAAAAUCACUUUGAUCACUAUAUUACGAAAAUCACAAAUUAAAGUCGUUAGAGCAACUUGCUAGAUCCUGCAAAAACGCGUCCGGUAAAACAGUAUACAGGUCCCUAAAACGAAUUUGCGGCACCGUGCGGCAUCGAGCGAAAAAGACCUCGUAAACUAGGUAAAAGUUUUUUCCUUCUUUUUCUCCUCACGUUUCUUCUUCCACGUGAAGCACGCACGAAUGAACUCGAACUCCGACCGGCCGGUACACACGUAUGCAGUUACUGGCUGGCCGUAACACACGCACGUAACUGCUGCCGGCUCCGUGCUAGACCGCCACAAGCUCGGUCGGCUGAUCCGGCGCCGCCCUGGCAGGUCGCAUGCUCCGGCGGCACUCCAGAUAGCCAUUGCCAAGCUCUUCCGCAUGCUCGCGUAGCGCCGCCAGGCCGCCUACCCCAGCGUUGACCAGUUUACGGGUUUCCUUAAAAACGACCUCGAAACCUCCAAAUAU
RNAcentral lists this long non-coding RNA (38578 nucleotides) under Triticum aestivum (bread wheat). RNAcentral's name for it is "long non-coding RNA (TAES_LNC010514)". The stretch from base 23828 to 23899 matches the Rfam family "tRNA". Lineage: Eukaryota; Viridiplantae; Streptophyta; Magnoliopsida; Poales; Poaceae. The record is from RNAcentral.